Molecule: ribosomal RNA, 812 nt
Filed under: Candidatus Phytoplasma pruni
Lineage: Bacteria; Bacillati; Mycoplasmatota; Mollicutes; Acholeplasmatales; Acholeplasmataceae
Description: bacterial SSU rRNA
Rfam family: Bacterial small subunit ribosomal RNA
Source: RNAcentral
GUACCUCGGUAUGUAAAGUUCUUUUAUUAAGGAAGAAAAAAGAGUGGAAAAACUCCCUUGACGGUACUUAAUGAAUAAGCCCCGGCUAAUUAUGUGCCAGCAGCCGCGGCAAUACAUAAGGGGCGAGCGUUAUCCGGAAUUAUUGGGCGUAAAGGGUGCGUAGGCGGUUUAAUAAGUCUAUAGUUUAAUUUCAGCGCUUAACGCUGUUGUGCUAUAGAAACUGUUUUACUAGAGUGAGAUAGAGGCAAGCGGAAUUCCAUGUGUAGCGGUAAAAUGCGUAAAUAUAUGGAGGAACACCAGAGGCGUAGGCGGCUUGCUGGGUCUUUACUGACGCUGAGGCACGAAAGCGUGGGGAGCAAACAGGAUUAGAUACCCUGGUAGUCCACGCCGUAAACGAUGAGUACUAAGUGUCGGGUAAAACCGGUACUGAAGUUAACACAUUAAGUACUCCGCCUGAGUAGUACGUACGCAAGUAUGAAACUUAAAGGAAUUGACGGGACUCCGCACAAGCGGUGGAUCAUGUUGUUUAAUUCGAAGAUACACGAAAAACCUUACCAGGUCUUGACAUUUUCUUGCGAAGUUAUAGAAAUAUAAUGGAGGUUAUCAGGAAAACAGGUGGUGCAUGGUUGUCGUCAGCUCGUGUCGUGAGAUGUUAGGUUAAGUCCUAAAACGAGCGCAACCCUUGUCGUUAAUUGCCAGCAUGUAAUGAUGGGGACUUUAACGAGACUGCCAAUGAAAAAUUGGAGGAAGGUGGGGAUUACGUCAAAUCAUCAUGCCCCUUAUGAUCUGGGCUACAAACGUGAUACAAUGGU